Molecule: ribosomal RNA, 441 nt
Filed under: uncultured bacterium
Lineage: Bacteria
Description: partial 16S ribosomal RNA
Rfam family: Bacterial small subunit ribosomal RNA
Source: RNAcentral
CCUACGGGUGGCAGCAGUGGGGGAUAUUGCACAAUGGGGGGAACCCUGAUGCAGCGACGCCGCGUGGGUGAAGGAGCGUUUCGGCGCGUAAAGCCCUAUCGGCAGGGAAGAUGGAGGCCGGUACCUGACUAUGAAGCCCCGGCGAACUACGAGCCAGCAGCCGGGGUAAUACGUAGGGGGCAAGCGUUAUCCGGAUUUACUGGGUGUAAAGGGGGCGCAGACGGCAGCGCAAGCCAGUAGUGAAAGCCCGGGGCCCAACCGCGGGACUGCUCUUGGAACUGCGAGGCUGGAGUGCAGGAGGGGCAGGCGGAAGUCGUGGUGGAGCGGUGAAAUGCGUAGAUAUCAGGAGGAACACCGGUGGCGAAGGCGGCCUGCUGGACUGCGACUGACGUUGAGGCCCGAAAGCGUGGGGAGCAAACAGGAUUAGAUACCCCAGUAGUC